AGUUUGAUCCUGGCUCAGGAUGAACGCUAGCUACAGGCUUAACACAUGCAAGUCGAGGGGAAACGACAUCGAAAGCUUGCUUUUGAUGGGCGUCGACCGGCGCACGGGUGAGUAACGCGUAUCCAACCUGCCCACCACUUGGGGAUAACCUUGCGAAAGUAAGACUAAUACCCAAUGAUAUCUCUAGAAGACAUCUGAAGGAGAUUAAAGAUUUAUCGGUGAUGGAUGGGGAUGCGUCUGAUUAGCUUGUUGGCGGGGUAACGGCCCACCAAGGCGACGAUCAGUAGGGGUUCUGAGAGGAAGGUCCCCCACAUUGGAACUGAGACACGGUCCAAACUCCUACGGGAGGCAGCAGUGAGGAAUAUUGGUCAAUGGGCGAGAGCCUGAACCAGCCAAGUAGCGUGCAGGAUGACGGCCCUAUGGGUUGUAAACUGCUUUUAUAAGGGAAUAAAGUGAGUCUCGUGAGACUUUUUGCAUGUACCUUAUGAAUAAGGACCGGCUAAUUCCGUGCCAGCAGCCGCGGUAAUACGGAAGGUCCGGGCGUUAUCCGGAUUUAUUGGGUUUAAAGGGAGCGUAGGCCGGAGAUUAAGCGUGUUGUGAAAUGUAGACGCUCAACGUCUGCACUGCAGCGCGAACUGGUUUCCUUGAGUACGCACAAAGUGGGCGGAAUUCGUGGUGUAGCGGUGAAAUGCUUAGAUAUCACGAAGAACUCCGAUUGCGAAGGCAGCUCACUGGAGCGCAACUGACGCUGAAGCUCGAAAGUGCGGGUAUCGAACAGGAUUAGAUACCCUGGUAGUCCGCACGGUAAACGAUGGAUGCCCGCUGUUGGUCUGAAUAGGUCAGCGGCCAAGCGAAAGCAUUAAGCAUCCCACCUGGGGAGUACGCCGGCAACGGUGAAACUCAAAGGAAUUGACGG
Molecule: ribosomal RNA, 916 nt
Filed under: uncultured bacterium
Lineage: Bacteria
Description: bacterial SSU rRNA
Rfam family: Bacterial small subunit ribosomal RNA
Source: RNAcentral